Molecule: long non-coding RNA, 676 nt
Organism: Erigeron canadensis
Lineage: Eukaryota; Viridiplantae; Streptophyta; Magnoliopsida; Asterales; Asteraceae
Exons: 3
Source: RefSeq, a predicted model, not a curated record
CCCGAGAAUAAUACGUACUCCGUAUUCGAAACAUCCAGGGGCAUCUAGCCUUUCUCUCGAGUCUCGACACAGGCGGCCCAUAAAGAAAAAAUGAGUAUUUCGGAAAAGAGUUGGAGUUACAACUUCUAGGCGGGCAUGAGACGAGUCGAUUAUGAUAACCCAAAGUGAUAACAGUCCUUUGAGCAGGAUGCACAAUUAUAACAGGUGUUCGGGUGGACCCAAUGUGGAUAUUGAAAGUGACAAAGGAUUUGGUGUUGUCGAAGGGAAGACACGGGCCAGGGGUGUUGUCGAAUGAGGGGUAGGAGAUGAUGAAAAUGGGACCGGGGACGAUAAAUCUGAAGAAGAAAGGGUCAUUUGUGAUAUGCGAGUGUCAUGUGGGCAUAUAACGAAUGAGUUAUCGAGUCAUAAAUUGAAUAACGAUGUUUCCCUUUUUGUUGAGAAGUGAACAAAAUAUGAUUUACAGACUGAGCGGAUGGUCUAAAAGUUAUGACUACCAAUAAUUUGUUGCAACUUGCAAAAGACAUAGAUUGCUGAUUUUGGUAGUUCCUCUUUACAAAAAGAAGUAUUCAAAGGCUACUAACAAUUAUUGAUUUUGUAUUUAAUUGUGUUACAUUAAUGAAUUAUUUGAAGAUUCUUGAAUGAGAUGGAAAUAGUUGUAUUUGAUUCUUUCUCCCAA